AUGACCUAAGGAAAUGUCAUCAUUACAUUGUUUGUAGUAUGAAAGCUGAUGGGUAGAGACAAGAUUUUAAUUUGAUUCCAGAUUUAAAUCAUCUCGGAGACCAGGUAUCACGGCCGGGGAAUGGCUUCCAAUAGCUGUAAAAGCAAAAUUCUUUCAAAUGUUCUUUCCUGUCUUAACUACAAGACUGGAAAAUUCAUCAUUGCAGAAAGCAAGAGAGUCGGCACUUUGUACAGAGUUAUACAAUUAUCCAUCAUUGGAUACCUUGUUGGGUAUGUAUUCCUGAGCAAGAAGUCCUACCAGGCCAAGGAGGAAUCUAUCCAGAGCGCUGUGAUUACCAAACUGAAGGGAGUGGCGGUCACCAACACCGCAGAGUCCGGACGGAUGGUGUGGGAGCCUGUGGACUAUGUCAUUCCACCCCAGGGUGAUGCAGUUUUUUUCAUUGUUACCAAUUUUAUUGAGACACCAAACCAGAAGUUGGGCAACUGUGCUGAGAGCCCUGAUGUGCCGGAUGGCCACUGUAAGGGAGAUAAAGACUGUGCAAAGGGAGAAUCAGUGAAAACUGGCCAUGGAUUUAGGACAGGCCGCUGCUUGAGAGACAAUGGGAAAUCCAGUGGUACGUGUGAGAUAUAUAGCUGGUGCCCCAUUGAGAGUUGCCACCAACCACAGGAUGGACAUAAACACAUGUCAAUUUUAAGAGAAGCUGAAAACUUCACAAUCUUCAUAAAGAAUUUCAUCAGAUUUCCCAAAUUCAGUUUCUCAAAGGCCAAUGUUCAGGACACAGCUGACAAAUACCAUCUGAAGAAAUGUCACUAUGAUGAGCUCCUUGAACCCUACUGCCCCAUAUUUCGUCUGGGAGACAUUGUUUACCGGACUGGACACAGCUUUCAGGACAUGGUUUUGAGGGGUGGUUCAAUUGGAAUUCUGAUUAAGUGGAAGUGUGACCUUGACAGAGAUCACUCAGAAUGCAAGCCACGGUACAACUUUACUCGCAUUGACAUUAAUGCAUCCAGAGAGUCCACAGGAUUCAACUUCAGACAUGCUCGGUAUUACAAGAAUGAGUCUGGAGAAGUCUACCGAACACAAUUCAAAGUGUAUGGCAUACGCAUCAACAUCAUGGUGCAUGGAAAGGCUGGGAAGUUCUGUAUCAUUCCCACCGUUAUCAAUAUAGGCUCAGGACUAGCUUGUAUUGGUGGUGGGACCUGGCUCUGUGACUGGAUUCUUCUCUACCUGAUGAAAAAGAGGGAGUUCUAUAAGGACUGGAAGUUUGAAAACGUCAAGAAAAAAGACAGAAACGCGUCUAACAUCACAGAACACUAUAACGGUACAACAGAGGAUACAAAACAAAUCCCAGAAGAGCAGCAGCUCACUGACCAAUCACCUGAGGUUUAACACCAUGGCAGCAGCUCACUGACCAAUCACCUGAGGUUUAACAGCAUGGCAGCAGCUCACUGACCAAUCACCUGAGGUUUAACACCAUGGCACCAGCUCACUGACCUAUCACCUGAGGUUUAACACCAUGGCAGCAGCUCACUGACCUAUCACCAGAGGCGGCAGGGUAGCCUUGUGGUUAGGGCGUUGAGCUAAGGUUCCAAGUUCGAAUCCCCUAGCUGACAAGAACAACAGCAAUGCCAUCCAUCUUGUCUAGUGAGUGAGUGGGAGGAGCAGGACAGACAACAUCUUCCUCCUCUUUAUCUAACCCCAAGCCUAACAACAGUGUACCACACCCAAAGGACUGGACCCCAAUGGACACCCAAAUGAACUGGACCAACCACUUGUCAGCGAGACAAGUCCGGAUAAGGAGUCUACCACAUAAGUUGAUGUGCCCUCUUGAAGAGAGGUGCUACAUUUUGGUACUCAUUUCUUACAGACUCAUACACAAGAGCAACAUAAUACUAUCAGACAGCCCUGCAUGUGGCCAUAGAGAGAAAGAGCUUUGACUUUGGGGAGCUGCUGGUACAGGAAAGAACAGAUGUUCAGGCCAAAGCCAGUGGAGACUUCUUCCAGCUCCAUAGAAGGCUGGGAUUCUAUUUUGGUGUUUUAGGUUCUACUCAUAUCCUACAUUGUGCUCACCUACGCCCACCAUGCUUAUCACCCUCAUGGGAAAGACAGUGGAAAAGAUUUCCAGAGAGCAAAAGGAUCUAGCAACUACAGAGAGCCUGUGUACUAUCCUGGACCUGGAGAGCUACCUGCCCAUGUGUCUGAAAGAGAAACUGUGCUCAGGAGAGGUGCAGAAGAAAGGAUUGUUGGCCGGAGAUGAAAGUAGAAUGUUUUUCAGCCCAGCAAUUGUUAAACUUGAUCUCCAGCGAUAAGGACGUUGCCAGUAUGACAAUGGAACAUUCAGAACAAACGACUGGGUCCUGUCCAUAGAUACAGAACAAAAAUAAUGAAAGUCUGGGUCUCGUCUCUGGCAACCCGAACCAAUAGAACGAACGACCAGCCGGCUUGGGUAGCAACCCUAGAUUUGUGUCCGGACUAUAUCUUAUGAAUGAAAUAGUAUGAAUAAAAUAAUACAAAUAAAGUUAAUGAAAAUA
Oncorhynchus nerka (sockeye salmon) is the source of this 2531-nucleotide RNA transcript. It is a transcript of the gene named P2X purinoceptor 5-like, with no coding region annotated. NCBI's taxonomy places the organism in Eukaryota, Metazoa, Chordata, Actinopteri, Salmoniformes, Salmonidae. The transcript is spliced from 18 exons. The record is from RefSeq and is a predicted model, not a curated record.